GUGAGGAAUAUUGGUCAAUGGGCGCAAGCCUGAACCAGCCAUGCCGCGUGCAGGAAGACGGUCCUAUGGAUUGUAAACUGCUUUUAUUUGGGAAUAAACCUCCUUACGUGUAGGGAGCUGAAGGUACCAAAUGAAUAAGCACCGGCUAACUCCGUGCCAGCAGCCGCGGUAAUACGGAGGGUGCAAGCGUUAUCCGGAAUCAUUGGGUUUAAAGGGUCCGCAGGCGGUCAUAUAAGUCAGUGGUGAAAGCCUACAGCUCAACUGUAGAACUGCCAUUGAUACUGUAUGACUUGAAUUCGAUCGAAGUGGGCGGAAUGUGACAUGUAGCGGUGAAAUGCUUAGAUAUGUCACAGAACACCGAUAGCGAAGGCAGCUUACUAAGGUGUCAAUGACGCUGAGGCACGAAAGCGUGGGGAUCAAACAGGAUUAGAUACCCCAGUAGUCC
This 445-nucleotide ribosomal RNA is filed under the name uncultured bacterium. Its description in RNAcentral is "partial 16S ribosomal RNA". It matches the Rfam family "Bacterial small subunit ribosomal RNA", at positions 354 to 796 of the family's 1533-position model. The record is from RNAcentral.